RNAcentral lists this ribosomal RNA (482 nucleotides) under uncultured bacterium. Its description in RNAcentral is "partial 16S ribosomal RNA". It matches the Rfam family "Bacterial small subunit ribosomal RNA", at positions 30 to 507 of the family's 1533-position model. The record is from RNAcentral.
AUUGAACGCUGGCGGCAUGCCUUACACAUGCAAGUCGAACGGUAACAGGUCUUCGGCUGCUGCCGAGUGGCGAACGGGUGCGUAAUACAUCGGAACGUGCCCGAUCGUGGGGGAUAACGGAGCGAAAGCUUUGCUAAUACCGCAUACGAUCUACGGAUGACAGCAGGGGACCGCAAGGCCUUGCGCGGACGGAGCGGCCGAUGGCAGAUUAGGUAGUUGGUGGGAUAAAAGCUUACCAAGCCGACGAUCUGUAGCUGGUCUGAGAGGACGACCAGCCACACUGGGACUGAGACACGGCCCAGACUCCUACGGGAGGCAGCAGUGGGGAAUUUUGGACAAUGGGCGAAAGCCUGAUCCAGCCAUGCCGCGUGCAGGAUGAAGGCCUUCGGGUUGUAAACUGCUUUUGUACGGAACGAAAAGACUCUUUCUAAUAAAGAGGGUCCAUGACGGUACCGUAAGAAUAAGCACCGGCUAACUACGUG